This 338-nucleotide small nuclear RNA is filed under the name Erinaceus europaeus (western European hedgehog). RNAcentral describes it as "7SK RNA". It matches the Rfam family "7SK RNA". Rfam says of the family: 7SK was discovered as an abundant small nuclear RNA in the mid-70s but a possible function has only recently been suggested. Two independent studies have found that 7SK RNA binds the CDK9/cyclin T complex (known as elongation factor P-TEFb). The record is from Rfam by way of RNAcentral. Lineage: Eukaryota; Metazoa; Chordata; Mammalia; Eulipotyphla; Erinaceidae.
GAAUGUAAGGGCGAUCUGGCUGCAACAUCUGUCACCCCACUGAUUGCCAGAGUUGAUUCGGAUGAUCUGGCUGACUAAGCGGGUGCCCCCUUCAUCCCUCACUCCUCCAUGUGCGAACCUUCCGAAGCUGCAGGCUUGGUAAAAGAGGAUGACUUUCCCCAAUAGAGUCAGACAGGUCUUCAGUAGAGGAUAUGCGAGUAGCUGCGCUCCCCUGCUAGAACCUCCAAACAAGCUCUCAAGAGUAUGCCUAGGGGUGUGGGCAGUGGCACACCUGGUAGAGUGCACAUGUUACCAUGUACAAGGACACGGGUUCAUACACCAGCUGACUACCUGUAGGU